Molecule: long non-coding RNA, 8739 nt
Organism: Melospiza melodia melodia
Lineage: Eukaryota; Metazoa; Chordata; Aves; Passeriformes; Passerellidae
Exons: 3
Source: RefSeq, a predicted model, not a curated record
GAAGGGCAGGAUGAGGGGAGGGGAGAAGCUAUUCAAGGAUUGUUUGAUGGUUUCUUGUAAACAAACAUUUUGGUAGUUUUGCCAAGGUCUCUGUAGCCGGCCUCCUGACAAAAGAAUAACUGUUCUGAGAAAACCAGCAUGAGGCCAUUCAGCACAAUAACACUCUUUUGGAGCCUCAUAUAAAUGUGGCAGAGAGGGUGGGUGUGCACUACAAAUCAAUCUCUGGACUUUGACAGGGUGCUUUAUAAAUUGAGGGGGGAAGAAAAAGUCAGUGGAAACAAUAGUUCUGCAGAGAUCCUCAUGAAUACAAGGUUCCAGGCGAUUCAGCCACGCUGGGUUUGUAGGAAGACAAACAAAACCAUAAGCAGCAACUCUGAGCCCUUGGCAAGGCAGUAGCAAAACACGAGGAGUUCCCUGCUCUGUCAGAAGGCAGCCUUAUUCUGAGUGCAGAGACACACAGGGCCAGUAUGGACUGGGCCACAGUCGGGGAUGAAGAAAGCACGGCAGGGCUUUACACGUGCUCAGAGAUCAGCUGUCAGUGUGCUUCUGGGUUUGAUUUCUGCUAAUAACCUCUUUGCUGGGAACAACUAAAUCAUGUCCAAUUCUGAGAAACACUCAUGUCUGGAGAAUUUACUACUAUUUGAAUUCUUUACUGUCACCAGCAAUGAGCUACCUGAAUUCUCUACUUAAAAGGAAGAUGUUCUUUCGAAGUAAAGCCUCCUUAAGGGAAAGCUUAUUUUGACUUUCAUUUAGUUCUCACCAGCAAGACCAAGGAUCCUUCAUAUUAAAGUAAAUCUAUAGAUAGGAACAAGCAAAACAAGUUGAAAAUGAAAAGCAAAGGCUUUUUGAGGUACUGUAUUUCAUUAACAGGUUCUGAGAGUAAUUGAUCAGCAGCAAUUAUGCACUAAGCUGUCACUAAAUUAUGAAAACAAACCUCAGCUCUACAGAAGUCAGCUAAGCUUUCUAUUUGUAAAACCCCCCACCAUUCUUCUGCUGGCAAUUUCUUCUCAUGGGAAAAAGCCAGAAGGAUCUAUCCAAUGGAUAAUCACACACAGCCAGUGGUGAUCUGGACCACUUUCCCUGGCUUUACACCUAAUUCAAAGCAGCUUUUAACUACUCUGGAUUUAGUUCUGGCUGUAUCUCUGAACAGAUGGGAUAGCAAGAUGAGCAGCAAUUCAAAUUGCAGGUGCUCAGAUGAAACCCAGCUGCAGGUUCCCUCUGAAUCAGGGAUAAAAUGUCUCCCAUUGGAUACCCGUUUUAAAGCUACCCCCAUCCAGCUAAAUUCAAACACAGCCUCAUGGGUUUAAGCUCCCUUUCCAUUAGCCAGCACCCACAGUUUUCACAAUGAAGCGCUGGCAUGUUCCUUCUUGCACUGGAGCUCCUCCACCCUUCCCUAUUCCCACCUGUCAGAGUGCACUUACACAAGGGUGCUGACCCAGACUCCAGGGGAGGCAUUGCAACAACCCUGCCAUUCCUAGCCCGCACCAGCCACCCUUUCAGCUUUAUAGGAAGCACUCCCAACACUGCAGAAUGGUUAAGUAAAUAAAAAACAGCAGUCAGCUAGGCUUGAGACAAAGGGAUCUUCUGAACUCCACUGCCUUCAUCUGCUUCAGAACCCCAUGCUUUGAUAGAAAGGUUAGAGGAAGCAUUAACCCAUUAGAAAUUGAUGAAGUGGAAGAGAGAGGCUUUCUGUACAUCUCGGGCUUCUGCUCCACACUCCACUGUCAGAGACUCUGUUGGGUUUAUUCACUUCUUGUGGCUACACUUCAAAGCUAUAAAUCCCUCUUUUUAUUCAGUGGGCAACUGUAUCAAAGGUUUUAGAUGCAAGGAAAUGAGCUAUUUUGACUGCCCACCUUUGCCUUUCAGUGCUCCAAUGUCUGGCAAUUAUAACUAUGCAGCAUCAGGAAGCAAAAACAACAACAGAAAGAGCCCAGACUUCUCUGAGCAGUUUGGGUGGCCAAGGACAGCACAGUUAUUUUUGAAAGUCUUUGUUUCAGACAACUUCCAGCCACGGCUUGGUUUACAUUGUGAAGUCUCUUAUGCCCGCCUGGAAUUCACAUGCAACUGAUACCAGUAAUUUACAAAAGCUCUUUGACAUAGUUUGAGAUGCAAUGUCAGCCCAUUAGCUUUAUGUAUGAAGCAACAGUAGCAAGAUGGCAACCAGACAAGAACCAGAGUAAGAAAACCAUUUGAGUUGAAUCUUGGCUCCAACAAAGCAUGAUUCUCAUCAACUUCAACAGGGCCAGAAUUUAACUGCAAGCCACUCUUGGAAGUGAGACAAGAGAGAGUAUGUGGUAAAGGAACGUAGGAGGAGUGGAAUGUAAGGGGGGAAGGAAGCAUCCACUCGAGGAUUUUCUAACAACUGCAUUGAUCAGAGGAUGCUUUCAGAGCUAUUGAAAAGUCACACAAGGCCUACUAAACCCACUUUUAUUGUUGAGAGCUCUCAUGGGGUCUUUACGAUUCAGUGGCAAUUAGGGCAAAAGAAAAUCCUGGACAUCAAAAAACCCCACUCUUCUCAUUAUAUGAUGACAAUUGUUUUGUUGUAAUCGUUUUCUUCACUGGUUCUACAAGCCUUACUCUGCAGCUCUGGGAAAGCUGACUAAGUCAAGCCGCGCAGAACAAAGGAGAAGUUUUGUGCAGUGCAGUGACUGGAGUGACCUACAGAUGGGUAAGUGACAGCAAAGCUGGAGCAGGAAUGCAGAUCAGGAACAUAUGCAAGAGCAUGUCUGCACUUGGUCUAAUGCACUGCUGAGAAAUGAGGCAAUUUUGUCUGAAGACAAUUGUACUUCCAGAACAUGAAAGCAAAGAAAGGGUUCAUUGUGUAGCUUUGGAAAUGAAGUUGUUUCAUGAAAAAAGAUGAGCUCUAAUAAUAGUAAAAGUGGCAGAGACCCAGUCUGAAACAACUCCCAGAUCCUACUAUAAACAAGAUUUUCAUUUUGAAUUCAGGCAUCUUCCAUUUUUAAUAUUUCACUGCUGCUGCAUCAUCUACUUUCUUCUCCAUAUAACUCUAUAUCCAAGAAAUCCCCCAGCCAGUGCUGGGGUAGAGUCUGAAAUCACAGGUAUGGCAGCAGUGCUGAAUAGGGCUGGUUGUGGCUACCCCUGACAGGCCAUGAGAUUUGUCUCAAGCAACAACUGCUUUUCUGGAAUGAAAAAUUAACAGGACACCCCAUGUACAUCUAAAAAAAUCUAAGGAGCACAGAGUAGUUCCCAAGCUAUGCUCCCCUCACCAAUUAAAACAUAAAAGCACACCACUGCGCACACUUGUCCAAGGCCUCCCUCUCACGAGGCCUGAAGCCCAUUUCAUUCCUGCAUGGCUGCCACCUUGGCACUCAAAGCAGACUGCAAGAAGCUCUGUAGGAUUUCUGUAAGAUGGAGCACAGUACUGCUGCCUGCUUGCUGAAGGAAAAGGCCUGUUGUGUCAACAAAAGCUUUAUGAGUUGAGAUUCACACUCUCUCCAGUGGCUUUUGCCACACACACACUGUUAAAGCCCUAGGUUGAAAUAGAGCUGAUUUUGCCCACCUCCUUGAGUAACAGCAGGCAAAAAGCAGAACAGCUCAUGUACCAAGAGACCCUGUGCAGCUUCCUCUAGCCACGGGAAAAGCUGAGCAGAACGGUUCUGAAACCAACCAGAGACAUUCCAGGGGAAAGAUCCCCACCCUUGAUUUUCAGCCAGCCCUACCAGGUGGUGUCUGGUAAAUAUUUUUUCAGCCCCUGCAUACAAACCCCCAAACAUCCAACUCCCAAGGAAGAGCUUGUAGUAACUCCUCUUUCUCAUCUAGUCAUUAGAUGGAUGUGGAUAUCAAAUCUUACACAGAUUUUAAGUUGUUUUCUUUUUUUAAAGCAGUACAUUCAGUUUUGAGACGUGCUUAUAGAGUUUAUAGAGAGGUCUCAGGCGAACAAGACUUAGGCUUCUGAAUAUUGGUCCUAAUUAAAAAGAACAAAACAAGACCAAAGAAACCAAACAAAGAAACCUGAAGAAAUCCUUUGGCUUUUACUCUCCCAGAGGAGAAAGAAAGAAUUAACAGCAUCUAUUUUUAGGCAUCACCCUGUUGGUGCCUGGGUGAGCAAGCUACUCACCCUCUGCAGGCAGUGUGAGUGAGACAGGCUGCUGCAGAGCCUGGAGGAAGUGCUCCAAGCUCUUUGGGGGAGAGCUUUUCCCUCUCCUUGUGCUCUAGCUCACAGCGGCCUGGGGAGGCUCCCAGAGGCCUUCCAGUGCCCGGGACACACAGGUGUCAGAACUAAAUAAGCCAGAGGAAGGAAUACUUACUUGUGGAGUUAUCAUUGUAAUCCCACGCCUCGACAAGCAGUGUGUAGGAUCUCUGCAAAAGAGAAAUAAGAGUUAGUUUCAAAGCCACACAUGACUAAGGGAAAGAAAAAAACCUGGCAACAAUUUUAAUUAAAAAGAAAAAUUCUGGUCUCUACCCCAAAGCAGAUACUUGAACACAGAAAUAGGUAAAAGAUUAUGCUUGAGACAAACAUGAUCUUCUUGAAACCCAGUAAGCUACCUUAUCCAGUCUGACUUAGAAGACCUUUUACCUUGGAUAGCUCAUCUUUGUCAUCAUUAAAGCAUCUUAUGUACUUAACCAGGAAGUGCAGCCUUUGACACUGCACUGCAGCCGAAAUACAGCAUGUGGGACAACUGCACAUGGAGGACAGGAAGCACCAGGAUAGCACAGCAGCAUCAAAAACCCAGACCAAACCCCCACUCUCCAAAACUACUUCAAAAGAAUUCUAGUUACAGAAAAAUAGUGUGGAUGUCCCUUCCCCCAGCCCUCCUGAAAGCAAGGAGUGUUGCUGAGAUUACUGUGCCCUGCCUUGACAGCGCAAUCUCCAGGGACUUUGCUUUUCAGCACCCCCUUUGAAAGCUUUGUCUGCACGAGGGCCAUCGCAGCUCCCACAAGUAUCAGGUAACGAGGGAAGCACUGAUGGAUAUGGAAGGGGGUGGGGUGAGAGAGAAGCACUGUAAAACAAAGGCUGAGAAAGCCUCCUCGGAGAAGCCGGGAAAGGGAAGCCCGCUCUCCACCCGUGUCCCUUCUACAGAUGCUCCAAGCUGCCAAUGAGCUCUGGAGCACUCCAGCAAUAAUAAUCAUAAGGACAAACUGACUGAAGUGACUCCAUGGGCUGGAAAGAUGCCAGCUAUUACAUCUAAGCCACCUUUAUCUUCAAUCCUAACUUGAGAACAAGACCCAUUAAAACAUCUCCUCCUCCAGCUCUACCCCGAGAUAUUAUUAUCCAGGCUAUAUCUUUCAAAGUUGCCAUUGAGCCAGCCAAACUUACACAAUGAUUAAAAACCAAAACAAAACACCUCCUCUCCAGAAGGAACGACGGGGGGCGAGAGAGCUGAGGAAAAAUAAGCAAAAUAUAUGACUUGAAAAGUAAAAAAAAAAAACAACAAACCUACAGAUAAGGCAAUAAAUGUAACAUCUUUCUGGAGAGCAGAACAAUAACACUACAAAUAAAAAUUCCGUGAAGAGUUCUGAUGCUUUGCCAUAGAAACUGUGCAUUGCAAGGCUUAUUUCUCCUUAACUGUGUGCAUGUUCAGUCACAGGCUGUUCAUCUGUGGUCUGCAGUGCCUCUCUGUAACAGAGACCAAAAUACAGUUCCCAGAGUGAGCUGAUACAAGGUGCACGGGAGUAAGGUAGAACUCAGACUUCUGAAGAGGAGGGGAAACAAGAAAGGAGGGAAAAAAAAGAAAAAAAGAGAACAAGAGUUGGAGCAGACUGCUUUCUCACGGCUGGACACAGCAUGAGGCUCUGAAUGAAAACCCAGUUUGUGAUGGACACCGGCUCGCUGUAUAGCCUAAAUAUGUUUCAUAUUCAAACCAGGAUUCCAUUCCGUUCCUGAUAACUGUGGGAAAAUGCUUCCAAAAGUAAGCAAAGCUGGGCAAGCCAAGACAUGCACCCAAACUUCUACGCAGAGGCUCCACUGGCCUGAACCAUUUUUGGUUAAUAUUUCAUGAAAAGUUAUAUGUUACUUGUUUCUAUUCUAGACCAAAUCUGACAACCUGAAAGAAACUCUGAAAAUCAAAUAAACCAAAAUGAAAUGCAACUCGAUCAUCUAACACCACUUAAAACAGAUUUAAGAAGUCCUUGCACAAGUCAGUGGUGAAAAAAAAAGAAAGAACCAAAACAAACAAACAAAACCAGAAUAGAAGUCCCGAGCCAUAUUACAGAUGCAGAUUGCACUAUCUUGGGUGCUUCCUCAGUGGUUUAAUUACCAACAUUAAGCAGUACAAGCUCAACAUGUUACUGCAAGCUUGACAAAAAAUGUUAUGAUAUAGAGAAUGAAUUAUGACAACUAGCACUACUUCCAAUAAAGUUAAGGAUGUUUUCCUUUCGGCCUUGCAUAAUUGUUUUGGAAGAUAUUUUGUCUAAACUCAUAGCAACAGUUCCCUGCUGGUUCUCAGGACUGUUUACCAACACACCUAGCCCUUAAGGAAAGGAAAGGCUGAAUCCUAGCUGUGAGUGCUACUGUUGCUAGAUACUUGUGUGACCACUUUCCACUACCACACAGGAGUUUGGUUAAAACAGAGGAGAUGCUUCAGCUGACCUGGAUGGAAACACAAUGCAGGGGAAAAGACCUACCCUGGCAAUUCCCUUGUUUCUAACUGCCCCCUCUCAUUUUGUCUGAAUGUAUUAAAUGAAGAGUGCCUGUCCUGAAAAGGGGUGAUACAAAGAAUGGCAUUUGAUCCUUGGCUCUGUCCCUCAGCAUGGGGAAAAGACCAAAAAAACCCAAGACUUUGUGUUCAGAAUGGGACACUUUUAAACAAAAGCCACACUGACACCCAGAGCCUCACAGCAGUAGCAAACCCCCUUCAACGAUCCAACUAUCACAUACCUCUAGCUAAUUCCCUCAGCCCUCCCAGAAAAGCAGCUCUGUGCAAAGCUGCGCUGUUGAGAUUUUUUAGAAGUGCAUAUCAUCCCCACUCUAUAGAUCAAGGAUUCAGAUAUCUCAGGAAUGACUGCUUACAGUGUGGAGGUUUAAGUUUUCCCAUGCCCAUAGAUGACCUCCGCCCAUCUUUGAAUAAAUAUAUAUAUCCAGACACAAGAACUCCACAUCAUGCACCUUAUUCCAUCAAAGCUAUGUCUAGGCAACAAGGCAGCAGUGAACUCUCCAGAGUCACACCCAAUUAGCCACUGUAAACCUGAGCUUGACCAGAAGGCAGGGAUUCUGGCUUGAGAGGAAAGGUAGCUUGAAAGGAACAGCAAAUCCUUAAACUUUGCAGAUAGUCAUGAGGGCUUUGAAAGGCAGCAUGGCCAAAUUUAAGCAGAAUUUCUGUGAGUGGAGCUAGGAGAGGAUGGAAAUGGUCAAGUUCUCCAAGAAACAAAGCAAGCAUCAGUGUGCAAGAGCUGUUUUCCUCAAUGACAAGACACUGUGUCUUUAUCCCCUGAUAAUACAGCUCAAGAGACUGUGCAAACCUGAAACCCAUCAGAAAUGGUCCCUUUUAAGGAUCUCAAAGAGCAGUGCAAUCUCCUUUCUGGUUAUUUAAAUGAAUCCUGGCAGCUGCAAGUAAACAGGUGUUUAAAGCUCUCUGCUUGAUUGCCCUCUUCCCUGCCUUCACCCAGACAUCCACCCAAAGGAGGUGCCUUUGCGCUCUGCCUUCUGAAGGCACUCUGCGAGUCAGUGGGCCAGAGCAAGAUUAAAACACCCGGCUUCUCGCUGCAGCGCUGCUCCAUUUUCAAAGGGCUCACAACUCGUCCAACUCCUUCCCCUCCUAGCCCUGUGGUUAGAGCGUGCAAGAGCUUUGCUGAGCAUGUGAAACCAUGACUAGACAAAUGCAGUGGGAAGUUUUGCAUUCAGAGUGCCGCUCCUCCUCUGCCAAACAAGGAGAGCAGGUUAAGCCCAGCCGCCCUCUCCUGACGCCCUGCACAGCUGUGAGCAGCAGCCUGAGAACGGCGCUCGCACACACCCUGUCUGCACCCAGGGCGCACGCCGGGGACACUGGCACAGCAGCCAGAGGUGUCCAGCUGUGACGCCUGCACGAAGGAAACUGAGGCACCUUUCAGCGUGCCCAGGGGCCAGGGAGGAGGGCGUCUGAGCAGGGUUAAAGCUAGCCACAAACCCACUUCCUCUGACCAGCACCAGCACUGUCACUCCACGAUGACACUGCGCAGACACAUCACCACACUGUGCCACAGACGGUCCACUUGGACAACUGAACAUUCUUCAAAGGAGUUAAAGGCAACUGGCUCCUCACCCAGAGGAUAUGCAAGUGUACUCCAGAAAAGGAGCAAAGCCACCUAACCCUCUUAACCUUUUGUGAAAUGGAACAUCAUCAGGAAGCUCCUCUUUGGGACAGCCUACGUAAGGACAAGGCAACACCCUAUAGAGCUAGUGAAUACAAACACAGCCCAAGCCGCGGCAAUCUCUCUCAUGCCUCAAUGCCUAUGGCCAAGAGCUCAGCUGAACCCCAGCAGGCAGCCCAGCCAAGAGCCUCAUCAGAAUAUGCCCAAAACAUAGCACGCUGCUCCUUCAGGCUUCAUCCUGAGCAGCUCCUUUGCUGCUCUAAGUGCCAGUAAACCCUGCAGUGCCACAGAAAGGAGACAUGGAAACCAACCGAACCAUGUCAGCAGCCCCAGGAGAGACCUGCCCCCCGUCCUGCCUUGGCAAGGGAAGGCAGCAGCCCAAGUCAAGACCUUGGUGCAUGGCCACCCUCCUGCCAAAGGAUGGAGGACACAAAAGUACCGCUAUCCAAACUAUGCAUACGCUUAAGCGUCCAGUAAACCAGGCUGAUCUCU